UACGGGGGGAGCAAGCGUUGUUCGGAUUUACUGGGCGUAAAGGGCGCGUAGGCGGCCACCGCAAGUCGGUUGUGUAAUCUCUGGGCUUAACCCAGAAAGGUCAAUCGAUACUGCGGGGCUAGAGUGCAGAAGGGGCAACUGGAAUUCUCGGUGUAGCGGUGAAAUUCGUAGAUAUUCGGAAGAACACCAGUGGCGAAGGCGACUUACUGGACACAUAUUGACGCUGAGGUGCGAAAGCGUGGGGAGCAAACAGG
This 254-nucleotide ribosomal RNA is filed under the name uncultured bacterium. RNAcentral's name for it is "partial 16S ribosomal RNA". It matches the Rfam family "Bacterial small subunit ribosomal RNA", at positions 524 to 776 of the family's 1533-position model. The record is from RNAcentral.